This 407-nucleotide long non-coding RNA is filed under the name Bos mutus (wild yak). RNAcentral's name for it is "lncRNA (ENSBMUG00000015852.1)". Lineage: Eukaryota; Metazoa; Chordata; Mammalia; Artiodactyla; Bovidae. The record is from RNAcentral.
UUCCAGGCAAGAGUACUGGAGUCGGCCUGUGGACUAGAAAAUAUUUAAUGCAAUUAUUUGCGUUCUAUUCAGAUUUUGUACAGUGAGGGAACCUUGGCAGGCUACAUACAGUCCACGGGGUCGGAAAGAGUCAGACAGGACUGAGCACGCAGUCAACCACAGUGAGGGAAAGGUGUGCUAGUUAUCUCCGUGAUUUAAAAAGACGUACAAACGGUACCUGCUGAUAAGUUAGGAAAUUGACAAAGUUCUCUUUCAAGAAUUUGAAAAGCAUGAACCUUGCCCCGCCUUAUAGGACACUUUCCUGGUUCAAAUCUCUGCACCUUUUGUCGAUUUCAAGGGCGCAUCUGAUAACUUCCCGCAGGAGCCUGGACAGGCGUCCCGCAGCCAGGGCAGUCCGAGCAGCCGGG